ACGGCUCAGUAACACGUGGAUAACCUGCCCCUUGGGUCCGGCAUAACCCCGGGAAACUGGGGAUAAUUCCGGAUAACGCACAUAUGCUGGAAUGCUUUAUGCGUCAAAUGGAUUCGUCUGCCCAAGGAUGGGUCUGCGGCCUAUCAGGUAGUAGUGGGUGUAAUGUACCUACUAGCCGACGACGGGUACGGGUUGUGAGAGCAAGAGCCCGGAGAUGGAUUCUGAGACAUGAAUCCAGGCCCUACGGGGCGCAGCAGGCGCGAAAACUUUACAAUGCGGGAAACCGUGAUAAGGGGACACCGAGUGCCAGCAUCAUAUGCUGGCUGUCCGGGUGUGUAAAAUACACCUGUUAGCAAGGGCCGGGCAAGACCGGUGCCAGCCGCCGCGGUAACACCGGCGGCCCGAGUGGUGAUCGUGAUUAUUGGGUCUAAAGGGUCCGUAGCCGGUUUGGUCAGUCCUCCGGGAAAUCUGACGGCUUAACCGUUAGGCUUUCGGAGGAUACUGCCAGGCUUGGAACCGGGAGAGGUAAGAGGUACUACAGGGGUAGGAGUGAAAUCUUGUAAUCCCUGUGGGACCACCUGUGGCGAAGGCGUCUUACCAGAACGGGUUCGACGGUGAGGGACGAAAGCUGGGGGCACGAACCGGAUUAGAUACCCGGGUAGUCCCAGCCGUAAACGAUGCUCGCUAGGUGUCAGGCAUGGCGCGACCGUGUCUGGUGCCGUAGGGAAGCCGUGAAGCGAGCCACCUGGGAAGUACGGCCGCAAGGCUGAAACUUAAAGGAAUUGGCGGGGGAGCAC
RNAcentral lists this ribosomal RNA (797 nucleotides) under uncultured euryarchaeote. RNAcentral describes it as "bacterial SSU rRNA". It matches the Rfam family "Archaeal small subunit ribosomal RNA", at positions 85 to 879 of the family's 1478-position model. Lineage: Archaea; Methanobacteriati; Methanobacteriota. The record is from RNAcentral.